GGUCGGACGGCAGCACAGAGAAGCUUGCUUCUUGGGUGGCGAGUGGCGAACGGGUGAGUAAUGUAUCGGAACGUACCGAGUAGUGGGGGAUAACUAAUCGAAAGAUUAGCUAAUACCGCAUACGUCUUGAGAGAGAAAGCAGGGGAUCUUCGGACCUUGCGCUAUUCGAGCGGCCGAUAUCUGAUUAGCUAGUUGGUGGGGUAAAGGCCUACCAAGGCGACGAUCAGUAGCGGGUCUGAGAGGAUGAUCCGCCACACUGGGACUGAGACACGGCCCAGACUCCUACGGGAGGCAGCAGUGGGGAAUUUUGGACAAUGGGCGCAAGCCUGAUCCAGCCAUGCCGCGUGUCUGAAGAAGGCCUUCGGGUUGUAAAGGACUUUUGUCAGGGAAGAAAAGGCGACUGCUAAUAUCAGUUGCUGAUGACGGUACCUGAAGAAUAAGCACCGGCUAACUACGUGCCAGCAGCCGCGGUAAUACGUAGGGUGCGAGCGUUAAUCGGAAUUACUGGGCGUAAAGCGAGCGCAGACGGUUACUUAAGCAGGAUGUGAAAUCCCCGGGCUCAACCUGGGAACUGCGUUCUGAACUGGGUAGCUAGAGUGUGUCAGAGGGAGGUAGAAUUCCACGUGUAGCAGUGAAAUGCGUAGAGAUGUGGAGGAAUACCGAUGGCGAAGGCAGCCUCCUGGGAUAACACUGACGUUCAUGCUCGAAAGCGUGGGUAGCAAACAGGAUUAGAUACCCUGGUAGUCCACGCCCUAAACGAUGUCAAUUAGCUGUUGGGCAACUUGAUUGCUUAGUAGCGUAGCUAACGCGUGAAAUUGACCGCCUGGGGAGUACGGUCGCAAGAUUAAAACUCAAAGGAAUUGACGGGGACCCGCACAAGCGGUGG
This 886-nucleotide ribosomal RNA is filed under the name uncultured Neisseria sp. Its description in RNAcentral is "bacterial SSU rRNA". It matches the Rfam family "Bacterial small subunit ribosomal RNA", at positions 60 to 935 of the family's 1533-position model. Lineage: Bacteria; Pseudomonadati; Pseudomonadota; Betaproteobacteria; Neisseriales; Neisseriaceae. The record is from RNAcentral.